UACGGAGGAUCCAAGCGUUAUCCGGAUUUAUUGGGUUUAAAGGGUGCGUAGGCGGCCCGUUAAGUCAGGGGUGAAAGACGGUAGCUCAACUAUCGCAGUGCCUUUGAUACUGACGGGCUUGAAUGAACUAGAGGUAGGCGGAAUGAGACAAGUAGCGGUGAAAUGCAUAGAUAUGUCUCAGAACACCGAUUGCGAAGGCAGCUUACUAUGGUUUAAUUGACGCUGAGGCACGAAAGCGUGGGGAUCAAACAGG
Molecule: ribosomal RNA, 253 nt
Filed under: uncultured bacterium
Lineage: Bacteria
Description: partial 16S ribosomal RNA
Rfam family: Bacterial small subunit ribosomal RNA
Source: RNAcentral